RNAcentral lists this ribosomal RNA (570 nucleotides) under uncultured Cyanobacterium sp. RNAcentral describes it as "bacterial SSU rRNA". It matches the Rfam family "Bacterial small subunit ribosomal RNA", at positions 877 to 1447 of the family's 1533-position model. The record is from RNAcentral. Lineage: Bacteria; Bacillati; Cyanobacteriota; Cyanophyceae; Chroococcales; Geminocystaceae.
GGAGUACGCACGCAAGUGUGAAACUCAAAGGAAUUGACGGGGGCCCGCACAAGCGGUGGAGUAUGUGGUUUAAUUCGAUGCAACGCGAAGAACCUUACCAGGGUUUGACAUCCUGCGAAUCUCUUGGAAACAGGAGAGUGCCUGCGGGAACGCAGUGACAGGUGGUGCAUGGCUGUCGUCAGCUCGUGUCGUGAGAUGUUGGGUUAAGUCCCGCAACGAGCGCAACCCACGUCUUUAGUUGCCAGCAUUUAGUUGGGCACUCUAGAGAGACUGCCGGUGAUAAACCGGAGGAAGGUGUGGAUGACGUCAAGUCAUCAUGCCCCUUACAUCCUGGGCUACACACGUACUACAAUGCUACGGACAAAGGGCAGCAAGUUCGCGAGGACAAGCAAAUCCCAUAAACCGUGGCUCAGUUCAGAUCGUAGGCUGCAACUCGCCUACGUGAAGGCGGAAUCGCUAGUAAUCGCAGGUCAGCAUACUGCGGUGAAUACGUUCCCGGGCCUUGUACACACCGCCCGUCACACCAUGGAAGUUGGCCACGCCCGAAGCCGUUACUCCAACCCUUGUGGA